CCUACGGGUGGUAGCAGUAGGGAAUAUUGCUCAAUGGGGGAAACCCUGAAGCAGCAACGCCGCGUGGAGGAUGAAGGUUUUCGGAUUGUAAAAUCCUUUUGUUAGAGAAGAUAAUGACGGUAUCUAACGAAUAAGCACCGGCUAACUCCGUGCCAGCAGCCGUGGUAAUACGGAGGGUGCAAGGGUUACUCGGAAUCACUGGGCGUAAAGGGCGCGUAGGCGGGAUAGCAAGUCAGACGUGAAAUCCUAUGGCUUAACCAUAGAACUGCAUUGGAAACUGGUAAUCUAGAGUAUGGGAGAGGCAGGUGGAAUUCGUGGUGUAGGGGUAAAAUGCUUAGAGAUCAAGAGGAAUACUCAUUGCGAAGGCGACCUGCUAGAGCAUAACUGACGCUGAUGCGCGAAAGCGUGGGUAGCGAACAGGAUUAGAUACCCUUGUAGUC
This 440-nucleotide ribosomal RNA is filed under the name uncultured bacterium. RNAcentral's name for it is "partial 16S ribosomal RNA". It matches the Rfam family "Bacterial small subunit ribosomal RNA", at positions 338 to 795 of the family's 1533-position model. The record is from RNAcentral.